GAUGAACGCUGGCGGCGUGCUUAACACAUGCAAGUCGAACGAUGAAGCUCAGCUUGCUGGGUGGAUUAGUGGCGAACGGGUGAGUAACACGUGAGUAACCUGCCCUUAACUCUGGGAUAAGCCUGGGAAACUAGGUCUAAUACCGGAUAGGAGCGCCUACCGCAUGGUGGGUGUUGGAAAGAUUUAUCGGUUUUGGAUGGACUCGCGGCCUAUCAGCUUGUUGGUGAGGUAAUGGCUCACCAAGGCGACGACGGGUAGCCGGCCUGAGAGGGUGACCGGCCACACUGGGACUGAGACACGGCCCAGACUCCUACGGGAGGCAGCAGUGGGGAAUAUUGCACAAUGGGCGAAAGCCUGAUGCAGCGACGCCGCGUGAGGGAUGACGGCCUUCGGGUUGUAAACCUCUUUCAGUAGGGAAGAAGCGAAAGUGACGGUACCUGCAGAAGAAGCACCGGCGAACUACGG
RNAcentral lists this ribosomal RNA (465 nucleotides) under uncultured bacterium. RNAcentral's name for it is "partial 16S ribosomal RNA". It matches the Rfam family "Bacterial small subunit ribosomal RNA", at positions 28 to 506 of the family's 1533-position model. The record is from RNAcentral.